GGCACCCGUAGUUGGGAACCGUGGAACCCUGGUCCCGGGCGGUGUCGCGGCUCGGAGGCUCGGGUGGUCCUCGUGCCGGCUGGGCUGCCGCUCGCCCCGGGAGGGGAACGCGAGCUUGGGCCGGACCCGCGGGCGACGCGCGGAGCGGCUGGUCCAGUCAUGGCUGACUACUGGAAGUCACAACCAAAGAAAUUCUGUGAUUACUGCAAGUGCUGGAUAGCGGACAAUAGGCCUAGUGUUGAAUUUCAUGAAAGAGGAAAGAAUCAUAAAGAAAAUGUUGCAAAGAGGAUCAGUGAGAUUAAACAGAAAAGCCUGGAUAAGGCAAAGGAAGAAGAAAAGGCAUCAAAGGAGUUUGCUGCAAUGGAGGAAGCUGCCCUGAAAGCAUACCAAGAGGAUUUGAAAAGGCUUGGCUUAGAGUCAGAAAUUUCAGAGCCAAGCAUAUCACCAAAAACCAGCACUGUCCCACCCAUCUCUGCAUCAAAUCAGCAGAAAGAAAAGAAGAAAAAGAAAAAAGACCCUUCAAAGGGCAGAUGGGUAGAAGGCAUAACCUCUGAAGGUUACCAUUACUAUUAUGAUCUUAUCACUGGAGCAUCUCAAUGGGAGAAACCUGAAGGAUUUCAAGGAAACUUAAAAAAGACAGCAGGGAAGGCUGUUUGGGUUGAAGGUUUAAGUGAAGAUGGUUACACCUAUUAUUAUAAUACAGAAACAGGAGAAUCCAGAUGGGAAAAACCUGAUGAUUUUAUUCCACACUCUGGCGAUCUGCUUUCUAGUAAAGUCAAUGAAAAGUCACUUGGUGCCCUGGAAGAAUCCAAAUCAUCAAAUUCACAUAGUAAUUCUGAUGGGGAACAGGAAGAACAAAAAGUAGAGGUCUCUACAGAAACACCGAAGCUAAAAAUAAAGUUUAAGGUAAAAAAUAAAAAUAGUGAUAAAGUAAAUGAAGGCAAGAUCCUCCUUUCUGAAAAACAGAAAGAAACAAAUAUCCAAGAGCAGAAUUCAUCAGGUUCAAAUGAAGAAAAAUCCAAAGCUCAUAAAAAAUCAAACCCAUAUGGAGAAUGGAAAGAAAUUAAACAAGAAGUUGAGUCUCAGUAAAAGUAAUGCAAGUUUUGGAACUUUAUAUACCUGUUCUAAUUAGAAAUGAUUCUCUAGGGGGUAACACACCAUUAAAAUGGUACUAGGAUAGAUUCCGGUCACCAUAGUGGCAUAGGUAAAUGUAGUACUCCAAUCUUCCCACAACCACAUCAAAAUUACAACUAAACUGCAGAACAACCAUCAUUCGGAACUGCCUGAAAUCUAGCUGAACAGAAGUCCUACAGCUAAGGAUAUGAUGAAGCCACAUUGAGACUGGUAGGAGGAGUGGACACCCAGAAAGUUUGGUCCCACUGAUAAAAAUUGGGAGAGAUAUCUCAGCUGUGGGGGUCCCCCUGAGGAGUGAGGGGUUCCAGUCCCACACCAGACUGCCCACCAGGUGCUGCUUGUUUGAGAAAUUGGGUUCCAGUAACACAGAGAGAAAUUAUCAUAACUUCUGGCUGUAAAAACCAGUAGGGAUUAUGGUUCAGUGAGCUGGAGGGCUGCUGGAGUCCCAGGCAUUUCUCUUAAAGGGCCAGUGCGCAGACUUUCUCAGCUCACUCACUUCUCCAGCACUGGGCCAGCUGCUCAAAAGGCACCAGGGUUAUAAGGGGAGGAACUGAAUUGUCUGCAGUCAGGGCAAGCACUGGAGGGGCAACUUUCUCCCAUACAGAAGUGCUGGUAGAAUGGUGGCAACAGGAGGGUGUUCCUUUUCUGAGCCCUCCCACCAUAGAUCCAGUAGGCGGGCACCAUAUCUGAGUCUCCAUCAACCUGGCUGUCACCCUGAUCCCUGAGACCCAAGCCCACCCAAAUUGUAGGUCCACCCAAGCUGUUUGCAAUGGCUUUUCCUUAUGAACAACUUGUCUUGGCGCAUAACUUCAGACAUUACUAAAAUUUCUCAAACAAGCAGCAUCUAGCAUCUGUGUGCCCCUUACCUCAUGCAAAGUUGCCACAGGCCCAGCACUAGCAGCAGCCAGCCUUGGUUCUCAGAUUGGCCUCACUUCAGCACCUCCAAGCCCAGCACAAGUAGCAGCUAUCUAAGAAUCACUUUGUAAGUCAUGCUGAUGGCCCUGGGGGACAACACAGGCAGCAGCUGACCUUUGCCUGCACUUUCCGGGAGACACCUAAGCCAGCAUACCUGGUGCACAGCAUCAGACCAUGUUGAAGCACCACCCGGCUGCCUCCACAAGAAACACAUUCAAGCAGCAUACUCAAGAGGCUUCAGAGCCCUACUGAAUGAGGAGGUAGAUUUGGAACUUCCAAGCACUGAAAAUGAAUAUUUAUCAACUUCAGAAGCUGCUGUUGGUGAGGAACCCAAAGUAGUUUUUAAAGAAAAAACAGUCACUUCUCUUGGAGUCGUGGCAGAUGGAGUGGCCC
RNA transcript from Myotis myotis, 2442 nucleotides. It is a transcript of the gene named WW domain binding protein 4, with no coding region annotated. NCBI's taxonomy places the organism in Eukaryota, Metazoa, Chordata, Mammalia, Chiroptera, Vespertilionidae. The transcript has 11 exons. The record is from RefSeq and is a predicted model, not a curated record.